Long non-coding RNA from Xenopus laevis (African clawed frog), 232 nucleotides. RefSeq lists it as uncharacterized. The record is from RefSeq and is a predicted model, not a curated record. The transcript is spliced from 2 exons. NCBI's taxonomy places the organism in Eukaryota, Metazoa, Chordata, Amphibia, Anura, Pipidae.
UUCUCCUCUGUGAUGUGCUAACUCCUACUGCAACUCCUGCUUCUCACAGAGGAAUCCAAGAAAGUUUCCAGGGGGAGGAGCAUUUCUCUUCUCUGCAGUGUGAGUCACAUGGGAGCAGCAUGACAUCAUCGGCAAGAUUUUCCUUUCACUUAUUGGCUAGCAGAAGAAACCUUUUCAUUGGCUGUGUGUCUGUGGCUUCUGUUUUUUUUCAAUAAACUUUAUUGCAACUGCA